AACGAACGCUGGCGGCAUGCCUAACACAUGCAAGUCGAACGAGACCUUCGGGUCUAGUUGCGCACGGGUGCGUAACGCGUGGGAACCUGCCCUUAGGUUCGGUAUAACUCCCCGAAAGGGGUGCUAAUACCGGAUAAUGUCUUCGGACCAAAGAUUUCUCGCCUUUGGAUGGGCCCGCGUUGGAUUAGCUAGUUGGUAGGGUAAAAGCCUACCAAGGCGACGAUCCAUAGCUGGUCUGAGAGGAUGAUCAGCCACACUGGGACUGAGACACGGCCCAGACUCCUACGGGAGGCAGCAGUGGGGAAUAUUGGACGAGGGGCGAAAGGCUGAUCCAGCAAUGCCGCGUGAGUGAUGAAGGCCGUAGGGUUGUAAAGCUCUUUUACCCGGGAUGAUAAUGACAGUACCGGGAGAAUAAGCGCCGGCUAACUCCGUG
RNAcentral lists this ribosomal RNA (433 nucleotides) under uncultured bacterium. RNAcentral's name for it is "partial 16S ribosomal RNA". It matches the Rfam family "Bacterial small subunit ribosomal RNA", at positions 29 to 507 of the family's 1533-position model. The record is from RNAcentral.